This 496-nucleotide unclassified non-coding RNA is filed under the name Trichodrymonia peltatifolia. RNAcentral's name for it is "partial contains external transcribed spacer and 18S ribosomal RNA". The stretch from base 450 to 496 matches the Rfam family "Eukaryotic small subunit ribosomal RNA", at positions 1 to 47 of the family's 1831-position model. Lineage: Eukaryota; Viridiplantae; Streptophyta; Magnoliopsida; Lamiales; Gesneriaceae. The record is from RNAcentral.
GAGUGGUGACUGACGAGUAUGGGUACGCUGGAUCCGUGCUUGGGCACCGUCAACGUACCUUGCCCGUCUCUUCAGUUGUCGGCACAGGCGCGCGGAGCCUUGGCCGAAUGAUGUUUUCCCGUGCUGUAUACCCGCUACAGGGGUACUGGAUUUGCCCAAUUGCAUGCGUGUGCUCGCUUCUUGCUGCCGUCCCCUUGGAUUUUGGCAUGGAGUGAACGUCGUGGCAUUGAUUGUGUUCCACUUUCCUUGCGCGCCCGUGCUUGGGUUGUUGGGCCAUGAUCCUUGCUCGAUCUCUUGGUCGCGGGAUACCAUACCUUGUGGGCAUGAGGCACUAGUCUCGGUUCGCCCCUUAUCGAGCGUUUAACGCUACGUUGCAAAUGACAGUUGUGGUCGUUUCGGCCAGGCCUUUAUGGCUUGGCUCCUACGGUCCCAACGUCGACGAGGAACGCUACCUGGUUGAUCCUGCCAGUAGUCAUAUGCUUGUCUCAAAGAUUAA